UACGAAGGGGGCUAGCGUUGCUCGGAAUCACUGGGCGUAAAGCGCACGUAGGCGGGUCCUUAAGUCAGGGGUGAAAUCCCGGAGCUCAACUCCGGAACUGCCUUUGAUACUGGGGAUCUUGAGUCCGGAAGAGGUGAGUGGAACUCCGAGUGUAGAGGUGAAAUUCGUAGAUAUUCGGAAGAACACCAGUGGCGAAGGCGACUUACUGGACACAUAUUGACGCUGAGGUGCGAAAGCGUGGGGAGCAAACAGG
This 253-nucleotide ribosomal RNA is filed under the name uncultured bacterium. RNAcentral describes it as "partial 16S ribosomal RNA". It matches the Rfam family "Bacterial small subunit ribosomal RNA", at positions 524 to 776 of the family's 1533-position model. The record is from RNAcentral.